RNAcentral lists this ribosomal RNA (464 nucleotides) under uncultured bacterium. RNAcentral's name for it is "partial 16S ribosomal RNA". It matches the Rfam family "Bacterial small subunit ribosomal RNA", at positions 338 to 795 of the family's 1533-position model. The record is from RNAcentral.
CCUACGGGAGGCAGCAGUGGGGAAUAUUGCUCAAUGGGCGCAAGCCUGACGCAGCGACGCCGCGUGAGGGAUGAAGGCCUUCGGAUCGGUAACCUCUGUCAGCCGGGAAGCACGUUCACUGUGCUAAUCAGCAGUGAAUUGACGGUACCUGCAAAGGAAGCAUCGGCUCACUCCCUGCCAGCGGCCGCGGUAAUACGGAGGAUGCGAUCGUUAUCCGGAUUCAUUGGGUUAAAGGGGUGCGCAGGCGGGCCUUUAAGCCGGCGGUGAAAUCGGGGGGCUCAACCCCGCCGAGCCGUCGGAACUGGGGGCCUUGAGUGGGGCGGAGGCAUGCGGAAUGCGCGGUGUAGCGGUGAAAUGCAUAGAUAGCGCGCAGAACCCCGAUUGCGAAGGCAGCGUGCCGGGCCGCCACUGACGCUGAGGCACGAAAGCGCGGGGAUCGAACAGGAUUAGAUACCCGUGUAGUC